RNAcentral lists this unclassified non-coding RNA (217 nucleotides) under Hevea brasiliensis (rubber tree). Lineage: Eukaryota; Viridiplantae; Streptophyta; Magnoliopsida; Malpighiales; Euphorbiaceae. The record is from RNAcentral.
GACGGAGUAGAAAAUUUUGGGGGAAAAAAGAAAAAGGAGGUGGUCUCGUGAUCGGACGUCCGUCGUUGACCCUGAUUAUUGUUUAGCUAAAUAUCCAGCGGUUCUCUCGUACAUUUCCNNNNNUCUCUUUUAUUUUUCUUUUCAUUUCCUUCGAUUUCUUUUUCUAUUGGAAACGCAAAACUUCCACACGCUCUCUUUUCUCGCUUUUCUUAACCCA